This 1156-nucleotide long non-coding RNA is filed under the name Gallus gallus (chicken). Its description in RNAcentral is "lncRNA (ENSGALG00010014275.1)". The record is from RNAcentral. Lineage: Eukaryota; Metazoa; Chordata; Aves; Galliformes; Phasianidae.
GAAGGCUGUUGUCAGACAGCUGUUUGAUGCAAAGCAGACUGAUAUAUGACGUGGUCCCUGUGGGAAGCUGGGGGAGAUGCACACAGGAGCCAGCCCACCCUCACCUGCCUCCCUUCCCUGUGUCACACUGUGACAUAUUCGCCAUCCUCACGGAGCCUUCUGCCUUCCUUCGGUGCUGAUGGGCCAUCUCCCACCUCUGAGGAGUCUUUGAGGAAGGCAACUUACGUUGCAUCAACAAACAGGCCCUGCCUAAUUUCCCCAUGGGUGUGUAGAAACUAGACGCAACUUCUGGCCACUGGAUGCUGAGAUGAGAAUUUGUCGUGCUAACCAAAUUAACUCCUUGUUGCCUUGUCCCUCUCCAUUUGUUUGCUGUAGACUGCAGUAUCCUUUGAAGAAGAGACAUCUUUACAACAUUUAUUUGCACAGCACUUAGUCUAAAUUCCUCACUGGUCUUUGACUAAAUCUUCCAGGCAUUCCAGCUACCCACAUAAUAUAUUAAAGCAACAAGUAGCUCUCUUACAGGGCCCCAGUUGGGACAGGCAUGCAUUGUUGGUUCCUUUAAAAACCUAUGCUCUUUGUUUCCUUCCAAAUAUUUAAACAAACAGUAUUUUCAUUUCAGGCUCUUUAACUCUUUCCCACAUCUUGUGGUAUCUUCCUAAAGUAAAGUGUCAGGGGUCCCAAAUCCUCAGUAGAUCAUAGAACAGAAUCACAGAAUCACAAUCAUUAAGGUUGGAAAAGACCUCUAAGAUCAGCCAGUCCAACCGUCAGCCCACCCCCACCACGCCCACUGCCCACAUUCCUGAGUGCCACAUCCACACGGCUCUUCAACACCUCCAGGGAUGGUGACUACACCACCUCCAUGGGCAGUCUGUGCCACUGCCUCACUGCUCUUGCUAAGAAAUUGUUCCUAAUAUCCAACCUGAUAUGUGCAUAUGGAGAGUGUACACUCAGAGCUUCACCAGUGCCUUUAGAGUUCCAUAAAGUCCUCCUCAAUGGAAGAACAGGCUGCCAAAACAGCUUGCCAUGUAAUAUAUAUUGUCUGGUUAAUGUGUGCCUAGUGUGAAGCUCAGUCCUUGGUUAUCUUUAUGGUUAGGGCUGGGGUUCACUUUGAAAGAAUGAGAAACCACGGAGUUGCAGUUCACUGCAAUGGUGAGGG